Molecule: ribosomal RNA, 497 nt
Filed under: uncultured bacterium
Lineage: Bacteria
Description: partial 16S ribosomal RNA
Rfam family: Bacterial small subunit ribosomal RNA
Source: RNAcentral
GAUGAACGCUGGCGGCGUGCCUAAUACAUGCAAGUCGAGCGAACAGACGAGGAGCUUGCUCCUCUGACGUUAGCGGCGGACGGGUGAGUAACACGUGGAUAACCUACCUAUAAGACUGGGAUAACUUCGGGAAACCGGAGCUAAUACCGGAUAAUAUAUUGAACCGCAUGGUUCAAUAGUGAAAGACGGUUUUGCUGUCACUUCUAGAUGGAUCCGCGCCGCAUUAGCUAGUUGGUAAGGUAACGGCUUACCAAGGCAACGAUGCGUAUCCGACCUGAGAGGGUGAUCGGCGGCACUGGAACUGAGACACCGUCCAGACUCCUACGGGAGGCAGCAGUAGGGAAUCUGCCGCAAUGGGCGAAAGCCUUACGGAGCAACGCCGCGUGAGUGAUGAAGGUCUUCGGAUCGUAAAACUCUGUUAUUGGGGAAGAACAAAUGUGUAAGUAACUAUGCACGUCUUGACGGUACCUAGUCAGAAAGCCACGGCUAACUACGUG